GAUGAACGCUAGCUACAGGCUUAACACAUGCAAGUCGAGGGGUAACGAGAGGGAAGCUUGCUUUCCUUGUCGACGACCGGCGGAUGGGUGAGUAACGCGUAUCCAACCUGCCCUUCAGUAAGGGAUAGCCUUUCGAAAGAAAGAAUAAUACCUUAUGUGAUCGUUUGAUGACAUCAGACGACGAUCAAAGAUUUAUCGCUGAAGGAUGGGGAUGCGUCCCAUUAGGCAGUAGGCGGGGUAACGGCCCACCUAACCUACGAUGGGUAGGGGUUCUGAGAGGAAGGUCCCCCACAUUGGAACUGGGACACGGUCCAAACUCCUACGGGAGGCAGCAGUGAGGAAUAUUGGUCAAUGGCCGUAAGGCUGAACCAGCCAAGUAGCGUGCAGGAUGACGGCCCUAUGGGUUGUAAACUGCUUUUAAACGGGGAUAAAGUGAGCCACGUGUGGUUUAUUGCAGGUACCGUUUGAAUAAGGACCGGCUAAUUCCGUGCCAGCCGCCGCCGUAA
This 506-nucleotide ribosomal RNA is filed under the name uncultured bacterium. RNAcentral's name for it is "partial 16S ribosomal RNA". It matches the Rfam family "Bacterial small subunit ribosomal RNA", at positions 28 to 523 of the family's 1533-position model. The record is from RNAcentral.